UGCUUUUUGAAAAUAUAAAAAGUAAUACCUGCCCAAUGAAUUAUUUAAAUGGCCGCAGUAUUUUGACUGUGCAAAGGUAGCAUAAUCAUUUGUUUUAUAAAUUAAAACUUGUAUGAAUGGAAAAAUGUAAAUAUAACUGUCUUUUAUUUAUAUAUAAAAUUUGCUUUUUCAGUGAAGAAGCUGAACUAUUUUAAAAAGACGAAAAGACCCUAUGAGUUUUAAAUAUCUAUGUAAUUUUUAUCUUAAAUAUUUUUAAUUGGGGCGAUUAAAGAAUAUAUCUUCUUUUAAAAAUUUAAAAUUAUAAUUUUUGAUCCAUUAUUAAUGAAUAAAAGCUUAAAUUACCAUAGGGAUAACAGCAUAAUUUUUUUUAAGAGUACUUAUUGACAAAAAAGAUUGUGACCUCGAUGUUGGUUUAAGAAAAUUUUAUAAUGAAGCAGUUAUAAAAAUAAGUUUGUUCAACUUUUAAAUUCUUACA
This 475-nucleotide ribosomal RNA is filed under the name Peripatoides novaezealandiae. RNAcentral's name for it is "partial 16S ribosomal RNA". It matches the Rfam family "Bacterial large subunit ribosomal RNA", at positions 1816 to 2600 of the family's 2925-position model. Lineage: Eukaryota; Metazoa; Onychophora; Udeonychophora; Euonychophora; Peripatopsidae. The record is from RNAcentral.